RNAcentral lists this long non-coding RNA (1155 nucleotides) under Oncorhynchus mykiss (rainbow trout). Its description in RNAcentral is "lncRNA (ENSOMYG00000067256.1)". Lineage: Eukaryota; Metazoa; Chordata; Actinopteri; Salmoniformes; Salmonidae. The record is from RNAcentral.
AUGGCAUCUUAUAAUGGUGAUGAACCCAAAUUCACUGCUGGGAGGGGGAGGUUUUUCUCAUACUCUGAUCAAACCCCUGUAAAGUGUGUAGGUGCAGGAGGUUCCCCCAUGUUUUGCUCCACAAAAAAAUGGGAUGAAAGCCCUUCAUCUGGUGUUAAUCCAAAUGCCCCUGUAGAUGGUCUAGCUGAGCUGGUCACUCAGCUAGCCCAGGAAAUAGGGAGCUCCAUUAGGGAAGAACUACAGAGUGGCAGGUCCAGUACUUAUGAGCCACCAGUAAGUACAGAAAAGAUAAGUGAUCAUCAUUCAGAGUCGGUAGGAUAUGUAGAUCUCAGUAAAAUUAAGUUCAUCAUGCAAUCAGACAUAAAGGAACCUCCUACAUAUAGAGGAGAUGUUACAGACAAAUGCUCCAUUCAUGAAUGGGAGGAGUUGACGAGAAUAUACUUGAGGAGGAAGGGAUGUCCGGUUGAGGAACAAUCAGAUGAGAUAAUUAGUCGAUUAUCUGGCAAAGCAAGAGACAUGGUAAAGAUACAUUUACACAAUGAGACAACAGUUGAUCCUACAGAGAAGCCAGAGAUUGUAUUUGACAUUCUGAAACAGAAUUUCAGCGAAUUGGCCUAUUCAUGCAUGCCCUUGGCUGAUUUUUACAAUACUAAACCUGUACCCGGAGAGGCUGUUAUGGAGUAUUGGGUUCGAUUGAACAAGGCCGUAGAUGUCGCUGACGAGGGCCUUAAGAGACAAGGUAAGAAGAUUGACUCCGAUGUCGUUAGGAUGUUUGUAACAUACUGCCCUGACCCCAAACUGGCAGCAGUAUUCCAAUACAAGUCUGCUGAGAAAUGGACUGCGAGUGAAGUACGGGAGAGAAUCUAUGAACAUGAACGCCGCAGGAAAGCCACCAUGUGUCAAUCUACCGCUGUAUCCUCAAAGCAAGUAACAGUACAUCCCCAGAUAACUCCAUGUGAAGGCGGGGUCAAUGCUGGUGCGUGCAGUGACACUUCUCUCACAUCAAGCGCCAAACAAGAUGGGCAGAGUGCAAGUAUCGAGAGACUCAUUCACCUGCUUGAGAGAGAAGAGCAUAGAGAAGAGCAUACCACCCGUUAUGGUUUCACAGACACAGGCCAAGGCACCAUCUUUCCACACCCAGCCCUCCAGGCGUAG